RNAcentral lists this long non-coding RNA (1100 nucleotides) under Cricetulus griseus (Chinese hamster). Its description in RNAcentral is "lncRNA (ENSCGRG00000024398.1)". The record is from RNAcentral. Lineage: Eukaryota; Metazoa; Chordata; Mammalia; Rodentia; Cricetidae.
CAGAAGGCAAGGAACAGACGAGCCCAGUGUGGGAUUUGGAUUCUGUGCUAUUUCUAUUCCAAGGAGGUAACCAAUCCCAUAGAAGAGGAAAUAGCAGUGCCCUUGUGACUUACCAUCUCAGAAUUUGAACUGUUUCCUGAGAUUUAGCAGCUGUUUGAGCCCUGUUGGAACUGGGUUCAGAUUUCUCUAUAUCUGGUGAUUUCAUGAUCUAACAAAUAGCAGAAUUAGGGAUUCAGAAUUUAUUUGUGAUCUUUAAACUUCAACCUGAAUCUGAAAGGACAGGCAUAUGGGGAAGUCAUGAUAUUAUUUGGGAGUGACAGUGGUAUAUCAGUCAGCUCCCACUGGGUUAAUAUGCAGUAACAAGCAAUUGAAGAGGCUUGGACCAAAGAUGGCUUGUUUCUCAUUUGCAUUAUGUUUGUGGCUGUGGCUCUGCUGCCUGUGACCACUCAUCUAGGACCCAAAUUGAAAGGGAAGUGCCAGGGACAACUGUGCUCCUAGACAGAAAUGGCAAGACAGCCAAGAGAAACAUGAAAUGGCAUUUGUAGCCCAGAACUAGCCUAGUCACUUCUACCCAUACUUUCUCUGCCACACUGCAUUGUAUGGCCAGGUCUGACCACCGGUGGAGAAGGUGUGCUGUGUCCUCUUCUAGGUACUACGAGUCUCGUGGAUGCUAGAGAUUACCCAUUCACUUACAGGAAGAGGGUGCCCAGGUGGCGGCGGGGCUCGGGCGACUUGGAGGAAAGAUUUAUCAUUACAGAGUACUCCAUUCAGGACUUCAUAAGCCUUCCACUCGUCCACCACACUGAGACUGGACAACAGCUGGCUCUCCCAGUACUUGAUCGUUAUCUCCACUUUCUUGGGGUCCCUGGAAGAUGCUGUCACCCCCAGACAAGAGAAAGUAAUUUAAGAACACAAUGCCCACAUUCCCAAGAGGCAGUGUUAUUGUUUUGUCCAAAAUGUUAUUGUUUUGUUUAAAAAGAAGAAAAGAGACUUUUAUUUAGACAAUAUCUGACAAUUGUUCUUAUUGUAUAUAGUUUUAUUACGUUAGAGUUAAAACUUUUCAUUUUUAUUUAGACAAAAGGGGGGAAAUGUUGCAGGAG